Solanum lycopersicum (tomato) is the source of this 1113-nucleotide long non-coding RNA. RefSeq lists it as uncharacterized. The record is from RefSeq and is a predicted model, not a curated record. NCBI's taxonomy places the organism in Eukaryota, Viridiplantae, Streptophyta, Magnoliopsida, Solanales, Solanaceae.
UAGUUCGAGAAAUACACCACUAACGGCCCUCGAAUCAUGGAUAAAUCAUAUUAGAGAGUAGAAUCAAGGGAGGAACAGAUUUGUACUCAUAAUCUUGAUGAAUAAAAUCACGUUUCUUCAUAAAAAAAAAAAAAAACCAUUUAUGCUAUCCGACCAAAGCCCAUUUUCAGGAAAAUAUCCAGCAAUGUGCUCCAGCCAAGAGCCUCGACCCUACCAAUUUAUCUUCUUUUAGCGAAAACCCAGAGCUUUGCUGAAGGAUUUCAGCGCGUACAGUCAAUUUGAUCCCAUAUUUCUUCAUCGUCUGGAGCAUCGAAGCUCAGAAACGUCGAGUGCGUGGAUGGCAACGGAGAGUACAAAGAUAAAACUCUAAGGAUCAUACUGUUUUGUCUUAUUCCUCAACGUUCAUCCCUGUUCGUACGAUGGCAGACAUGCGUUUUCAUCCUUUGAGACUCGACAUUCAGCCACGUUGCUUGCUAGUACAAUGGAUCGAUCUUGUCCCUCCACCUCCCUUGAAAUCUGUUCAAAAUCAUUUGGAAUGGGAAGAUUAUUGGUUUUCGGAUAAGAUUUUGGAUUUUUAAUCUGAAAUGGGUCUGGAUUAAUUUCGGAGUUUUAUCCAUUUUUUCCAAAUCGAAGCACUAACCCAUCGUUAUAUAAGAUCUACUCGUCGAGAAAAACAGAGAGUGUACUUUGUGUUGUAAAGAACAGUGGAAGUAAGAUAAAACACUUGUUCAGUUUCAAGUUUUAGGGGUGUGGUUUGGGAAUCGAUUCAAACACUUCAAGUCCUCUGCUGCGCCUGAGUCCGAAAGAUUUCACAAAGCUCUCCUUUUAGUGUGAAGUCGUCUCCUUUGCUCGUGUGUUCUCGGUCGCUGCCCUUGAGAAGGUGCAGGCACAGGUGGUCGAUAGAGUUGCAGGAUCUUCAUAGCAUCUAUACGGAUGUCAACAUUCAUUCGGAGUUUGUUAGGUCCUCAUACUUUCGAGGAUGCUACUGUUUUAUAUUCUAGCAUAAUUUUAGAGUUGAGCUAGCGGAGCAUGUUCCACUAGCAUUUCUUUCCUCUUUUGAUUCAGACUUUGUAUUGGGACAUUUAGGCAAUUAUACAAUUAAGACUUAAUGAA